UUGAGGCUAAUCUGGCUUUAUCUACUGUAAAAAUAUUGUUAAACCAUCUGUUUUGCUUUAUAUACUAGAAAAUAUGAGAUUUAAGUGUUACUAGACAUUGAAAGAAGGGUUAAUUCCAAUAGGAAGUUCAAUUUCAGUAAUUUGUUUUUAGCUACUUGCUUUGAUACUUAAAAUCUGAAUAAAUGUAUAAAAUAAAGAACUAUUUAUAUCUGGGAAUCUCAAAGGAGCAGAUAUGUUUAAAGCAAAAAGCUAUUAAGGCUAGUAUUUAGCUUCAGUGCAGAUUUCUGGACUUGCCCUGUCUGUGAAUCAGAGGUGAAGAUGAGUGUGAACACAGGACUGAUACUUUUAACCAAACACUAAAAUCUUUGUUUUCUAGAUAUCAGUUACUAUGUAUGGACCAUUGUAUUGCUAUCAUACAGGAUCUGCUCUGUUUUUAAGGAAACAAUAAUACCUUACAACAGGUUAGGCAUCACUAUUUAUGGGUAAUUAUACUUAACACUAGAAUUCUCAUGGUACACAGCAGAAAAGAUUUUCUAGUGAUGGUUCAAUCCACAGGAAUGUUAGCAGGCAUCCUAACUCUGUGACCUAUUUAUUUAAACUGUGGAACAAGAUUACAUUAGAGUAGUUUUUCUGCUUUUAAGAUUUAGCUAUAUAUAUAUAAAAAGUACAGAAUGGCUUAUGAACAUUUCGGUAAUUUAAUAAUCAAUAGUCUUCUUUAAAAUAAUUGAUUAUGGUUUUGCUCAUUCUUUUUAUUCAAAUGAACAUAACAAUUAAGUAAUUGGUGGUUGUUCCUGGACAGCUUCAGGAAAUUUUGAUCUGCAGUAUUAUUAAGUACAAAACGAAAUUUUCUAACAUGGUAAUUGCAAAUUAUAUUUUAUUAUUGAAUGCAAAUUGUUUAUGUAUCAGGAGUGAUAGUGGAGUACUUUCUGGGUUAUUCACUCUUCCUGAUGCUGAAUGCUAUGAAAAGUGCUCCAAAUAUGCUUUCAGCUUUGUGUUUUGUUAUAAAUUGUACGAAAACAUUUCUCCAAACUAUGGUAGUUGAGUCUUUGUAGAAUACAAGAUGACAGUCAUACAAUCCUCAAAAUGUUUGAAAUUAUUUUUGCCUAACUACUAGCAUUUAGUAUUCCUUAUCAUAAAUUCCUUGUUCUAGAAGCAAAUCAUCUUUAUUCUAAAAGAAUAUAUUCUAGACAAGUUAAGUGAGUCCAUGAUGUUCUUGUGGAGUUUUGGUUACAUGAGUCUUUCCUUUGGAUCAUUUACAUUUAUCUUUGUUUGUCAUUUAUUUGAAGAAUCUUCUGAUCUACCUUAAAAUUUUGUGAAGGUGAUAUUCUCAGUGACUGCAAAGACCCUGAGCUCUACAUUCUGAGAUGGCUGGCAGAGCAAUAAACCCAAAGGGAAAGGUGACUGCUGAGAGACAGACUGGCCAUUUUCUUUCCUUUAACCUCAAAUCCUCCAGGAGGAGUGUCAGACCAUUGACAAUCAUCACAGCUCAUAGAUCCAUACCUUACUAUUACAUGUAAUUUUAUUAUUUCAAAGGCUUUUAAGUCAGUAAACAGUAAAAAACAAUUGCUGUCUAGAUUGAUUUAAUUAGUUUAUUUGGUGUCCAGAGCAUGUAAAUCCACAACUAUGUUGUUUCUGUCAGUUAUAGAAUCACAAAUUAAUGGCAAUGUUCUGAGCUAAAAAGAUGAUGGCUGUUUUUGUUAGCAUGUUAGAAUAAUUCCAAUGGACUAUAAAGAAGGUUAGGAUCCACAGAGCCUUUCUUAACAGACCACUCACUUCACAUUCUGAUGUCUUUUGUGCAUCAGUUACUCUAAUUUAUUUUUUUACCAUUACUUAUGUCACAUUUCUCGUUUUUUUACUAAAAACUUAAGAGAGAAUAUGUUACCUGAAACACACAUAUGCAACACUUUGAACACAGAUGUGCUUAUUCUAUAUGCCAUGUCAGUUACCUAUAUACAUCAGUCGGCAUCAGAUUAUACAUAUGUGUGUACAAACCACUUAUAUACAUAUAGAUUUCCUUAGACUUGAGCACCAUGCAUUGCAAAAGAUGUUUCCAUAUAUUGAAAUAGACACAUUUAGUGGUUUUUAAAUUAUGUUUUAAACUUGGUGAAGCAAUGUAAUGCCUUACGUUUUUUAGCCAUGGUAAUAUUUUUUUGCCUGCUCUUCCAAUCACGAAGUAAAGAAAACUCACAUUUUCUCCUUCAGAAAAUUCUAUUUCACAAAUGCAAAUUAGUUUGAGUUAAAACAAACAAAAAAGAAACAGAAGGGAACAAAGAAAGCCUUUGCCUGGUUGCUAGCAUUGUUCAAAGAGUAGACAACCACACGAUUCCCACCAUGAUUUUUAGAAAAUGUGACAAGAGCCACGCACAUUCUUUUGUGCAUGACCAGUGGCACAUUUGUGAGAUAACCAGAGGGGGCUGAGCCUGUGUCUAGGAGCAGUUUUCUUUUUCUUCCUUUUCUUUUCUUUCUUUCUUCCUUUUUUGUUGUUGUUGUUGAACCAAUGUGGUGAAGUUAAUAGGCACAUAUGGGGAAUGGACAAGCUUUACUGUUCUCAGGGGAAUUUCCUUCUUCCCUGCUCAUGGAUUUGAAAAAUUGCUGCCACUGAGACUAGAACCAGAGUUCUUCUUAUCUUCCAUUUUAAUAUAAUCUAUUGCCAUUAAUAGACUAUUCCAGCCAUAUUGUAAUGGCAUGGGCAGUCAGGCCUUUGCUGCUAUUUAUAAUUUUCUCCUUUACACACUUACCAUCUCCAACUUCUUAUAGUGUAUGAUAUCCUUUCUGACCUGGUUGAUACUGGUUGAGAUGGGAAUGCCUUGUAUGAGAGCAUGCUUUUUUUGGAAUAGAAAAUAAAAUUAAUACCUCAGUUUUAUUGCUUCUGAGGCUGAGAUAAUAAGCCAUUAGAGGGAGGUGAAUUCUGAAUGUGUCAUGGUAAACUCAUCUGCAUCUACUAGAUGUGACUCCUUCCUGUUUUCCACUGUGAGUGGAAACAAAGGGCUUUCACUUCACGUACUAGUUUUGAAAAUAUAGAACAAUAGGUAAUAACGUAGAAGCUAAAGGGGAAUAUUUUCCCACAGUGUUAACUAGGGUUCCUACAUUGAAUUUUGGACAAAUUUUAACAUAGCAAGUUUUUUUAAUGGUAUCUGUGCAUAACAUUGUAUCUGUCCUGCUUAUUUUUUAUUCCAUUGUUACCAGAUUAACAGAAAUAGUAUUUUAACUUCAUUCUAAAUUGAGAAUAAAAUUAAAGAUCAUUUGUGUUAACAUCGAUGAUGGCUAAGUCUAGAUGAAAUUACUCUAUAUGGAGAGCAAACUCUUUCCCGCAUUCAUUGUAAAACAGAGCAUCCAGGUUCUUGCACAGAUCAACUUGCUGAUAACCCUGCUGUCAGUGUCAGGCACUUGCUCAUACAAAUACCUGUUUAACUUUUGGAUGGUUUACUUUGAGUCUCUGGAGAAAUAAGUAGAAAUGAUGUUUGUGGGAUGCUUGUUACAAGCCACACAAUGCCCCUAGAAUGUUAUGUACACUAUCUAGUCUUUAUCAUAACAACACUAUGGAGUAUACCCCCCACUGCAAGUUACAGAAUACAGACAAGUCUUUAGAACAAGUAAUUCAAGGUGAAAUUAUGUAAGACUCUACAGUUAUUCAGUAGAAGACUCAGUGUCUAUGAACUUAAAACCCAUCUGCUCUAUGGUGACUUGAAUUCUUUGUUCAUUCUAGUCUUCAAAUGUUACUUUAGCUCUUUUGUCAUAAUUUGAAUUUCUCAGGAUUAUAAUAGAACAUUGCAUAGGCAAGACAUUUUGUUUAUGUUUGUUUAAAGGAAAAGAGCAUAAUUCGGUUAUUUACCCGUAUCUACCAAUUUAUAAAUAGAUAAUGUUCAAGAAAUAGACGAGUUCAGCCAAGAAAUGUUUCCUCUGAGAGAAACUUUAUAAUAUCUGUGUAGCCUAAAAUGGACUCAGAAACCAGUGGAGGAAACCAGGUGGUAACGGAGAAGAGCAGCACUGCCCUUCUAUUUAUAAACAAGGCAUUUCAAGCUUGGAUACGAAGCACCAGCAAAAGUUUAGUAGAGCAUACUUAUCAUAUUAUUUUCAUUAAACCAAAAAGACCCAGAGAUCUUUGAAUAGACCCCCAUGAUUGGGGGCCCCCUGAUACAGCUAAUUGAUGAUACUAAGACUGCUGCCCUGGCCAUGGGUAGUGUGUGGAAUCAAAGUAGGUUUGCUUUAAUUACUCUCUAAAUUAAAUCUUCCUGUCCUGGGUACCAAGAAUUUGAUUAUCAUUGGUAAUUCAUUGAUAGCAUUCAAAUGAUACUCCAUGAAAACCUUGGCCUCCUAAUCUAAAAUAUAAUAAGAUAGUACACAAUAUUACCAUCAGGUGACAAAUGGCUCCCUCUGUGUGUGUAGUAGGUCUUUUAUCAUUGAUGGAAUGUGUUGAGAGACUAUCGGCAUGGUAACAGAACACUACUUUAGUAUUAAUCCAUGCAUAAAGGACCAAGAGAGAUGAUAUGGGAGAGAAUGAAUGAUUUUUGGAUUGCCUUCAUAUUGCUAUUUAUGUGGGAAAAAUAAAUGCCAAAUAUUAAUUUAUAAUGUUUAAAGAUAAAGAAGAAAUCUGUAAUGUUAAGAUGCACUUGAAUCACAUAAAUGUUAGUUUUUAUUUAAGUAUCCAAUUUUAUUUAUAUUCAAAAUAGAUACAGGAUUGUAAAUACAGGGCAGUUGUAAUAUUCUAAGCACAUAUUUUAGGGACUUCCUCCUUUUCCAAAUCUCACUCAAGUGGAACAUACACUCAUUUCUGUAACAAAAAUUCUUUCUACUCUAUUGGCAAAAUGAAUAGCAUCAACUCAAAAUAUUUAAAAAUUUAGUCACAUCCACAUCCUGCAGCCUAUAAGGAGCUUUCACGCUUUUGGGCUCGCUUUAGAUCUUUAAUACCCUUUCCUUUGUGUCAAGGAGCUCACGAGCCGUAAAGAAGCACAGAUAAACCCACUUAGAUCCCUUCCUGGGCCGUCACCUCUCUCUGCCAAGCGGCUUUAGGUGGUAACUGAUCUGUGACAGGCUGCCAGUCAAACAGAGCAUUUCUGAAAGCUGACACAAAAGACUGAACGCUGGAGAAUGGACAGGAAAAAAUAAGAAAAGGGUCCAAACUGUAUCAGCGCCCCCCACUCCACCUCGGUCUGUUCCAUUUCACUACAGCCCCCGCCCUCCGGCCCACCCUGCUCCUCCCUAACCUUUUGGGGUCUGUUUCUGGCGCUUUUCUUCUGGUUCCCUCCCCUCCCAGCUGCCCGCCCCCUCCCUCCCCCCGGUACUGGGGCUCACCCAGGCCUGCUGCUGCUGCUCUGGCGCAGUCAGGUUCAUGGCAAGGCCAGCGCAGUGCAGAUAGAGAUCAGCAGCCUUUAGCAGUGGCUGCUCUAGUGCCCUGCUGAUAAUAGAGGCAGAAGCCAGAGUGACAGUCAGAUGGAAGCUGACACAGGCCUUCUGUCAAUGCCACCCCUGCCCCUGGGACUGAGCAGGGAAGAGUUGGGGGGGGGGGGUGCGUAGAGCUGAAAUGUCAGCGUCAGUAACGGGCAGAGGCCCUCUGUUUUUCCUGUAGGUGUUGAGCUGUUCCAUGCAGGAGCAAAGGGUUUUUGCCAUUUCCCUUAGCGGGUGUGAGUCAGGGAACAGAGCUGCUUUUUUGGUGAUUUCCUCACUUAAUUUCUUCUGGUGCGGUGGAGCCCUCGUGCCGUAACUGUGUUUGACAGUUUUUGUUCUCACUGCCUUUUGAGCAUGUUAAGGAUUGAUAAAUCUUGUCAUAUGAGAACCCGAGUGAUGCCUGGAUCUUUUACAUUCUUUACAGCUGGAGAUCAUUCUUGUGGUUUUGUUUUUAUUUGCAUUAAAAUAAAGCUAAAAAAUACGAACCAAGGAAUAGAGGCAAUGACUCUUUUUUUUUUUUUUUUUUUUUUUUCUGCCCAGGAGUAGAAUUUACUGCAGAUGUUCCUAACAAGUGACUUCUGAUAUGACUUUGACAGUUUUCAGGAGAUAAAUUAAAGGAUUACAGUUUCCCCUCCCUCUACUACACUCAGUUCAUCCCACCUCGUCUCCCAUCUGGAUCCACCCCCUUUCUGUCUCUGGGUAGAAAAGAAUAUGCUUCUGAGAGAUAAAAACAAAAUAAAAUAAGAUAAAACAAAAACUGUCAAAGCAGAGUUGGACAAGACAAUUAAACAGAAGGAAGAGAGCCUAAGAGAAGGCCCCAGAACCAUAGACGGAUUCAUUCACACACAAGCAUCUAUUAAAACAAUAAACUGAAAGUCAUGAUAUAUGCACAAAGGACCUAUUGUGGACCCCAUACAAGCCCUGUGGAUGCUGCUUCAGUCUAUAUUCUUUAUAUGGUGGAUUACAAUUAAUGAUUUAUGUAAGUGGGAUUUACCCUGUAUCUCUGGGAUGAAGCCUACUUGAUCAUGGUGGAUGAUCUUUUUGAUGUAUCUUGGAUUUGGUGUG
Long non-coding RNA from Peromyscus leucopus (white-footed mouse), 6450 nucleotides. RefSeq lists it as uncharacterized. The transcript has 3 exons. The record is from RefSeq and is a predicted model, not a curated record. NCBI's taxonomy places the organism in Eukaryota, Metazoa, Chordata, Mammalia, Rodentia, Cricetidae.